This 224-nucleotide unclassified non-coding RNA is filed under the name Westerdykella ornata. RNAcentral describes it as "partial internal transcribed spacer region". The stretch from base 1 to 46 matches the Rfam family "Eukaryotic small subunit ribosomal RNA", at positions 1786 to 1831 of the family's 1831-position model. The record is from RNAcentral. Lineage: Eukaryota; Fungi; Ascomycota; Dothideomycetes; Pleosporales; Sporormiaceae.
AAGUCGUAACAAGGUUUCCGUAGGUGAACCUGCGGAAGGAUCAUUAUCGUGGAGCUGCGGCUCCUUCGAGGGAGAACCCUUGCCUUUUCGAGCACCUGUUUGUUUCCUCGGCAGGCCCGCCUGCCAAUGGGGACCCCUUAAAACCUUUGCAGUAACCUGUACCAAUAAUCGUCUGAAUAAAAAAAUCUAAAUCAAAACUUUCAACAAUGGAUCUCUUGGUUCUG